Molecule: long non-coding RNA, 619 nt
Organism: Acipenser ruthenus (sterlet)
Lineage: Eukaryota; Metazoa; Chordata; Actinopteri; Acipenseriformes; Acipenseridae
Exons: 2
Source: RefSeq, a predicted model, not a curated record
UUGUUCUUUGUCAGCAAGCUGGAAAUGAAUUGGUUGGGAAGCCUCACGUCUGCGUGUAAGAAUCAGGUUGAGCAAACAGAGCAACCACUCAUGAUCACUGCGUGUGUUAACUAAAUGGGGGUCCUGAGGUGGGCCGGAGAGAUGGGCGGGGCCGGGACCCUGACUGUUCCUCACCAACCCGGAAGGAAGCGCCCCGUGGAGUCAGCACACUGGAGUGAACGGGAGAACCCAGCCUGUACUUUUCCAUCCAGCGAGGUUACCCGUGGUUAGGCUGGGGCCAUGCCCCCUUCCUUCCAGAAUGUUCCGAUCCCUGGACUGAGGCCCCUGGGCUGGGGGAUUUCCAUCCAGCUGCCAUUUGGGGAAAUUCCAGCUGGGUGAGGUGUCUGUUCUGGAUUGGCUGGAAUGGGCACUGCCUCACUCAGCUCUCUUAUAAAAGGGACUGAAGCUGGACCCCGGGGUCGGACUGAAAGAAGGAGAACAGAACGGGUGGACAACAGCCAACGAGUAAGAAAGCUAAAGAGAAGAGAGAGCUGACUUGUGAAAGCGUGAGCUGUGCCUGACAGCAGCUUUGUUAAGUGAUUAUUGAAGCUAAAACAAAAAUAAAAGUUUUAGCCUUGAA